GCGAACAGGAUUAGAUACCCUGGUAGUCCACGCCGUAAACGGUGGAUGCUGGAUGUGGGGCCCGUUCCACGGGUUCCGUGUCGGAGCUAACGCGUUAAGCAUCCCGCCUGGGGAGUACGGCCGCAAGGCUAAAACUCAAAGAAAUUGACGGGGGCCCGCACAAGCGGCGGAGCAUGCGGAUUAAUUCGAUGCAACGCGAAGAACCUUACCUGGGCUUGACAUGUUCCCGACAGCCGUAGAGAUAUGGCCUCCCUUCGGGGCGGGUUCACAGGUGGUGCAUGGUCGUCGUCAGCUCGUGUCGUGAGAUGUUGGGUUAAGUCCCGCAACGAGCGCAACCCUCGCCCCGUGUUGCCAGCGGAUUAUGCCGGGAACUCACGGGGGACCGCCGGGGUUAACUCGGAGGAAGGUGGGGAUGACGUCAGAUCAUCAUGCCCCUUACGUCCAGGGCUUCACGCAUGCUACAAUGGCCGGUACAACGGGAUGCGACACGGCGACGUGGAGCGGAUCCCUGAAAACCGGUCUCAGUUCGGAUUGGAGUCUGCAACCCGACUCCAUGAAGGCGGAGUCGCUAGUAAUCGCGGAUCAGCAACGCCGCGGUGAAUGCGUUCCCGGGCCUUGUACACCCCGCCCGUCAAGUCAUGAAAGUGGGUAGCACCCGAAGCCGGUGGCCUAACCCUUUGUGGAUGGAGCCGUCUAAGGUGAGACUCGUGAUUGGGACUAAGUCGU
RNAcentral lists this ribosomal RNA (726 nucleotides) under human gut metagenome. RNAcentral's name for it is "bacterial SSU rRNA". It matches the Rfam family "Bacterial small subunit ribosomal RNA", at positions 768 to 1489 of the family's 1533-position model. The record is from RNAcentral.